RNAcentral lists this ribosomal RNA (468 nucleotides) under uncultured bacterium. Its description in RNAcentral is "partial 16S ribosomal RNA". It matches the Rfam family "Bacterial small subunit ribosomal RNA", at positions 28 to 507 of the family's 1533-position model. The record is from RNAcentral.
GACGAACGCUGGCGGCGUGCUUAACACAUGCAAGUCGAACGGAAAGGCCCUGCUUUUGUGGGGUGCUCGAGUGGCGAACGGGUGAGUAACACGUGAGUAACCUGCCCUUGACUUUGGGAUAACUUCAGGAAACUGGGGCUAAUACCGGAUAGGAGCUCCUGCUGCAUGGUGGGGGUUGGAAAGUUUCGGCGGUUGGGGAUGGACUCGCGGCUUAUCAGCUUGUUGGUGGGGUAGUGGCUUACCAAGGCUUUGACGGGUAGCCGGCCUGAGAGGGUGACCGGCCACAUUGGGACUGAGAUACGGCCCAGACGCCUACGGGAGGCAGCAGUGGGGAAUAUGGCACAGUGGGCGGAAGCCUGAUGCAGCAACGCCGCGUGCGGGAUGACGGCCUUCGGGUUGUAAACCGCUUUCGCCUGUGACGAAGCGUGAGUGACGGUAAUGGGUAAAGAAGCACCGGCUAACUACGUG